Mytilus trossulus (common blue mussel) is the source of this 194-nucleotide long non-coding RNA. RefSeq lists it as uncharacterized. The transcript has 3 exons. Lineage: Eukaryota; Metazoa; Mollusca; Bivalvia; Mytilida; Mytilidae. The record is from RefSeq and is a predicted model, not a curated record.
CUUGGAUUAAGCGGAAUUCCACCACAAUUUGUGUAUUGCAUACACUGAUAAAUGCAAAGUGUUUAUUUAAACAGAUGAAUGAAGGAUAGAUGAAGAUAAGAAUAUCGUUCCUUGUCAUUGUAUUAAUUUUCAUAACUACUUACGAUGUGACAGAGGCGACAUGUGCUGCAAAUGAGUUUCAGUGCGACGAUGGA